Molecule: ribosomal RNA, 238 nt
Filed under: uncultured bacterium
Lineage: Bacteria
Description: partial 16S ribosomal RNA
Rfam family: Bacterial small subunit ribosomal RNA
Source: RNAcentral
CCGGCGCACGGGUGCGUAACACGUAUGUAAUCUGCCCUCAACUGGGGGAUAGCCCGGAGAAAUCCGGAUUAAUACCCCAUAAUAGAAGACAAGGCAUCUUGUUUUUUUGAAAAUUCCGAUGGUUGAGGAUGAACAUGCGACUGAUUAGUUUGUUGGUGAGGUAACGGCUCACCAAGACUACGAUCAGUAGGGGUACUGAGAGGUUAAACCCCCACACUGGUACUGAGACACGGACCAG